This 1425-nucleotide long non-coding RNA is filed under the name Cricetulus griseus (Chinese hamster). Its description in RNAcentral is "lncRNA (ENSCGRG00015021752.2)". The record is from RNAcentral. Lineage: Eukaryota; Metazoa; Chordata; Mammalia; Rodentia; Cricetidae.
CUUUUCUCCCUUGCUCUUCCAGCAGCACAAUGUGAGCCACCGGCAAGGAGGGACACCAAUAAGGCGUCUGAUAAGAUAAGUCUUAUAAAAUAUAUAGAUUUAUGAUAAUUAAGACUGAGUUAGCAGAUGAGAAUCCUAGUCAUUGGCCAAGCAGCUUUGAACCUACUACAAAUUUCUGUGUAUUCAUUUAGGCCUAACUCAGGCGGGCAGCUGGCAUAAAGCGCACAUGUGGUGGUGGGGCUCAGCGGCUUUUGGUGGAAAGAUUUAUUGCAACAUUGAAUCUUUAAUACCAACAGAAAAAAUGGCAACAUUAAUGGAGAAGAACAGGAAGACACCAGACAUCUUUCUCAUUUCUGUAUAUGUGAAUGCAGCCACGGUUGAGCAGAUCUCUGGGGAUGCUUCCAUAUCCGAUCCAUAGCGAAGUAAGGCUUGUUGCUCAGGGGCUCCAGGAAGAAGAAGGUUCUUGACCAGGGAUGAGAGCAGUUCAGGACUAUGGGCCCAAAGAAGUAUUUUGAAGGCAGUGUGACAGCAUUACCAUCCAGCAAAGGGACAGGAGCAGGUUCUCCAAUAAGGCCUCUGACUGCCCAGCCAUGGGCUUUUCACUGUACCAGCAACCCAGGAAGAAAUCAUUCCUCUGCCAGUUUCUACUCUACUGAAGCUCUUCUCAGCCAAUCAGGAUGUUCAGAAGGGGAACAAAGCAGUCUGGACACAUCAGCUGCUGUGCAUGUGUGAAAUGAAGCUGAUUGGGCUGAGGCCUGCAUGCCUGCCCCGUUUUAUCUUUGGAACACAUUCCUCAUCCUAGGAAGAAUUAAUGUCUGCUAUCAAGGGCUUACUGUCAGCAUCUCUGUUGUCCCUUUGAAUGUACUGUUGACUGGGAUCAGCCUGCAAGAUUGAUCUCAAGCAAGUGAAAUUGGGUUGAAAAUAAUUCUAAUCUUAGCCAUGAAGGAUGGCCGUGUUGAGGCUGGAUGCAGAUUUUCCUGGGGGAAUGAAGGUUUGUGAAUCAUGCAGGGGGCUGUUACAUCACUAUCCACUGUAAAACCGCAUCAGUCAUGUGUGUCCUAAAUCAGAAAGAAUGGCUCAGGACAGAGAUGAAAGGUAACAUGAGGUCCGAGGAGAAGGCUCAGUGGGCCAAGUGCUGCCCCGAAGGUUGAGGACCUGAGUGUGGAUAUUUGGAAACUAGAUAAAACCAGAUGCUUAGUCCCAGCACUCCUAUGGUGAGAUACUGGAGUGGAUACUGGAGAGUCUCCAGCUAGUCAGUAGCAUACAGUAGUGAACACAAGUGCCUUGUCUCAAAAGAAGUGGAAGAUGAGGACUAACAUAUGAGGUUUCCCACUGACCUACACACACACACACACACACACACACACACACACACACUUUAAAAAUGAAAUAAAAUUACAUAUCUAUCCGUUAUAAGUGUAUGUG